RNAcentral lists this ribosomal RNA (492 nucleotides) under uncultured bacterium. RNAcentral's name for it is "partial 16S ribosomal RNA". It matches the Rfam family "Bacterial small subunit ribosomal RNA", at positions 29 to 507 of the family's 1533-position model. The record is from RNAcentral.
AGUGAACGCUGGCGGUAGGCCUAACACAUGCAAGUCGAACGGCAGCACAGUAAGAGCUUGCUCUUACGGGUGGCGAGUGGCGGACGGGUGAGGAAUACAUCGGAAUCUACUUUUUCGUGGGGGAUAACGUAGGGAAACUUACGCUAAUACCGCAUACGACCUACGGGUGAAAGCAGGGGAUCUUCGGACCUUGCGCGAUUGAAUGAGCCGAUGUCGGAUUAGCUAGUUGGCGGGGUAAAGGCCCACCAAGGCGACGAUCCGUAGCUGGUCUGAGAGGAUGAUCAGCCACACUGGAACUGAGACACGGUCCAGACUCCUACGGGAGGCAGCAGUGGGGAAUAUUGGACAAUGGGCGCAAGCCUGAUCCAGCCAUACCGCGUGGGUGAAGAAGGCCUUCGGGUUAUAAAGCCCUUUUGUUGGGAAAGAAAAGCAGCAGGUUAAUACCCCGCUGUUCUGACGGUACCCAAAGAAUAAGCACCGGCUAACUUCAUG